CAACCCUAACAUAAGCUUUCUUACCUUGAAUUUUUGGGCAGCGAAGCAAGGUCAUAUACUCCUCCAAAGUAGGGACUAAGUCUACCUCUCCAAAUGUGAAACAACUAUAGGCAGGGUUCCAAAACUAUACCAUAGCUCGGAAGUUUAUCUACCUUGAUGUCUAGCAAAUAGGAAAGAUCUCCAUAAUUCUGAUAAAAACGCUGUUUAGCCUCGUCAUCCCAUUGGGCCCAAAUGUCUCUCAACUCUUGAAACUCAUUCUGUGUCAAAUUAAUACGAGUGAAGUCCCAUAACUCUGAGGUAUACCCCUC
This 308-nucleotide long non-coding RNA is filed under the name Gossypium barbadense (sea-island cotton). Its description in RNAcentral is "long non-coding RNA (GBAR_LNC001816)". Lineage: Eukaryota; Viridiplantae; Streptophyta; Magnoliopsida; Malvales; Malvaceae. The record is from RNAcentral.